This 73-nucleotide transfer RNA is filed under the name Ixodes scapularis (black-legged tick). It matches the Rfam family "tRNA". From Rfam's summary of the family: Transfer RNA (tRNA) molecules are approximately 80 nucleotides in length. Lineage: Eukaryota; Metazoa; Arthropoda; Arachnida; Ixodida; Ixodidae. The record is from Rfam by way of RNAcentral.
CCCUGGUUAGAUCAGUUGGCAGAGCGCUACACGUGUAAUGGAGAGGUCCCGGGUUCGAUACCCGGUCCAGGCG